This 495-nucleotide ribosomal RNA is filed under the name Triticum aestivum (bread wheat). RNAcentral describes it as "partial small subunit ribosomal RNA". The record is from RNAcentral. Lineage: Eukaryota; Viridiplantae; Streptophyta; Magnoliopsida; Poales; Poaceae.
AUGAAUAAAAUCUUUUAUGGUCAUGCACCCAUGAAGAAUGGUCUAUUCUUAUUAAAUCUUGAUAGUAGUGACACACAUAUUCAUAAUGUUGAAACCAAAAGAUGCAGAGUUGAUAAUGAUAGUGCAACUUAUUUGUGGCACUGCCGUUUAGGUCAUAUCGGUAUAAAGCGCAUGAAGAAACUCCAUACUGAUGGACUUUUGGAACCACUUGAUUAUGAAUCGCUUGGUACUUGCGACCCGUGCCUUAUGGGUAAGAUGACAAAAACACCGUUCUCCGUUACUAUGGAGAGAGCAACAGAUUUGUUGGAAAUCAUACAUACAGAUGUAUGUGGUCCGAUGAAUGUUGAUGCUCGUGGCGGAUAUCGUUAUUUUCUCAUCUUCACAGAUGACUUAAGCAGAUAUGGGUAUAUCUACUUAAUGAAACAUAAGUCUGAAACAUUUGAAAAGUUCAAAGAAUUUCAGAGUGAAGUUGAAAAUCAUCGUAACAAAAAAUAA